This 99-nucleotide transfer RNA is filed under the name Gammaproteobacteria bacterium. RNAcentral describes it as "tRNA-OTHER". Lineage: Bacteria; Pseudomonadati; Pseudomonadota; Gammaproteobacteria. The record is from RNAcentral.
GGGGAGAAUAGAAUUUUUCGAUAUUAUUUGAAGACCGGUGUUUGGAAAGGUAGUAACUGGGUAACUGGUUCCGGGGUUCGAAUCCCCGUCUCUCCGCCA